Molecule: long non-coding RNA, 266 nt
Organism: Scleropages formosus (Asian bonytongue)
Lineage: Eukaryota; Metazoa; Chordata; Actinopteri; Osteoglossiformes; Osteoglossidae
Exons: 4
Source: RefSeq, a predicted model, not a curated record
ACCACUUUUAGGUCUUUUUGUAAUCGGUCCCUUGGUGGUUAUUCAAAUUCUGGCAUUCAUCAUUUACAUCAAGAGAAAAACAUCAAGAACACCAGAAGCAGAAAAUGGUGGAACUUCAGUCUCACAAAACUCCAAGUUUGAGACUUACGAUAAUACCUAUGAAAAUAUUAACAUUUAUGAAAAUUUUAACUGACAAAAUGAAGAUCUUCAUUCUGACAGUUUGAUUGUGAAGAAUGUGACUAGACACGAAGACGCUGAACCCCAGG